UACGGAGGGUGCAAACGUUGCUCGGAAUCAUUGGGCGUAAAGCGCACGUAGGCGGUUUGUCGCGUCUGCUGUGAAAACCCGAGGCUCAACCUCGGGCCUGCAGUGGGUACGGGCAGACUAGAGUGCGGUAGGGGAGAUUGGAAUUCCUGGUGUAGCGGUGGAAUGCGCAGAUAUCAGGAGGAACACCAAUGGCGAAGGCAGAUCUCUGGGCCGUAACUGACGCUGAGGAGCGAAAGCAUGGGGAGCGAACAGG
RNAcentral lists this ribosomal RNA (253 nucleotides) under uncultured bacterium. RNAcentral describes it as "partial 16S ribosomal RNA". It matches the Rfam family "Bacterial small subunit ribosomal RNA", at positions 524 to 776 of the family's 1533-position model. The record is from RNAcentral.